AGCAAGCGGUUCCAGGUUCCAUUCUUGGGGUGCUUAUGCCAUACAUAUUUUUUCUCUCCAUUUUAAAACACUUUACUCAGCCUCACCCACGAGGAACUUAAUUUGUUAAUUAGUUCAAUCAGGUUUUAGAUAAGUUAAAACAAAAAAUGUGAUGUGGGAUCACCAGCACUGGUAUAGGAACCCAUGAAUUAAACAAAGUCAUUACUAAUUUGCUUACCCCCUUACAGAUCGGGCUACGUGAUUCAUCUCCUGUUGUGCUGACACACACAUGCAGUUCAUGUGUUGCAGGCACUGCCCUAUGCAACCACAUAGUGGCUUUGCUUUUUCAAACUGCACAUUUCUCUCAGCUCAGUGUGCCAGUAGUUCCUCCUGUGCACAGCUGUACUGAAACUGAACAGCGCUGGCACAAACCUCGGACAAUUGGUGUAAAGCCAGGACCAAUCAACAACAUGAUCACCUGUGCCAAAUCAAAAGUCUCAAGGCGUAGUUAGGAGUGGACUCUACAGGGGCAUGGUGGGCCCUUUACCGGAUCCAUGCAUGUUUAGAGUGGCAGAGGCUUAUGAAAAAUUCAGCCUUGAAGACAAGCCGCUGGUGACCACCAUGGGCAUGGAACUCAACAAGCCAGCUGUGCAGUGUGCAUUUGGUAUGGUGCAGGAGGGCAGUGUUCUGUCAUAUCAGCAGCCUGUUUUACCAUCACGACACAUCACGCUGCAUCCUGAUGUUCUAUCAACCCCACUUCUGCCUCUGAAAGACCACCACCUUGAUGCACCCACCUGUGCUUUUGUGUGCACUGAACAGGAGCUUUUUGAUAUGGCUCACAAAAUUGAGGUGUCAACUCGGGAGCAGAGUUCUUGGGCUGAGUGGCAUCUGCUCCGCAAGCCUAGAGUAACAAAUAAUUAAUAAAUAAUAAUAAUAAAUAAUAAUAAAUAAUAAAUAUUGGAAACAGAAUUUGUUUAGACUUAAUGUUUUAAUGUACAAAAAGUAUACAAAAUAUUUACAGAACCUGGUGUGUCUAAAAUAUGCUCUUUUACAGUUUAAUAAAUACAUAAUUUGUGGACAGAAAUGAGAAAAUGUAAAUAUUGAAUAUUCUGUAUACUUAUUAAAUUAUAGGGCGGCACGGUCGGUAGCACUGUCGCCUCACAGCAAGAAGGUCCUGGGUUCGAUCCCCAGGUGGAGCGGUCCGGGUCCUUUCUGUGUGGAGUUUGCAUGUUCUCCCCGUGUCUGUGUGGGUUUCCUCCGGGUGCUCCGGUUUCCUCCCACAGUCCAAAGACGUGCAAGUGAGGUGAACUGGAGAUAUAAAAUUGUCUGUAACUUUUCAAUAUAACUUGUGAACUUGUGAAGUGUAAAACAUGAUAUUAAAAUCCUAAUAAACAAACAAAAUUAAAUCAUAUGUUUACUUAAUAAAAGAUUGUUUGUGUUUUUGUGAAA
Molecule: long non-coding RNA, 1428 nt
Organism: Trichomycterus rosablanca
Lineage: Eukaryota; Metazoa; Chordata; Actinopteri; Siluriformes; Trichomycteridae
Exons: 3
Source: RefSeq, a predicted model, not a curated record